Molecule: ribosomal RNA, 468 nt
Filed under: uncultured bacterium
Lineage: Bacteria
Description: partial 16S ribosomal RNA
Rfam family: Bacterial small subunit ribosomal RNA
Source: RNAcentral
GACGAACGCUGGCGGCGUGCUUAACACAUGCAAGUCGAACGGAAAGGCCCUGCUUUUGUGGGGUGCUCGAGUGGCGAACGGGUGAGUAACACGUGAGUAACCUGCCCUUGACUUUGGGAUAACUUCAGGAAACUGGGGCUAAUACCGGAUAGGAGCUCCUGCUGCAUGGUGGGGGUUGGAAAGUUUCGGCGGUUGGGGAUGGACUCGCGGCUUAUCAGCUUGUUGGUGGGGUAGUGGCUUACCAAGGCUUUGACGGGUAGCCGGCCUGAGAGGGUGACCGGCCACAUUGGGACUGAGAUACGGCCCAGACUCCUACGGGAGGCAGCAGUGGGGAAUAUUGCACAAUGGGCGGAAGCGUGAUGCAGCAACGCCGCGUGCGGGAUGACGGCCUUCGGGUUGUAAACCGCUUUCGCCUGUGACGAAGAGUGAGUGACGGUAAUGGGUAAAGAAGCACCGGCUAACUACGUG